CGUCAAUCUUCCCCUGUGUUCAGACUUAGACCGACCCUGAAAUUUACACCGUCAACUUAUUUGAAUCUGGUUUGUCUCCAAGAAAUCUGUUGAAAUCCUUGCUGGGCUGAUGGUCAUGCCCCGUUCUUUGCGCUGGUUUUGAACUUGUGCAAGAAGAAGCACAUCAUCGAAUGAAACCGUUUAAGUGUGUUUGGGGGAAAACAAUGCAGCAGAGACCAGUUCCCGUGGAGUGGCGCAUCCUUGAUGGAGCAGGCAUGCACACAGG
Molecule: non-coding RNA, 265 nt
Organism: Manis javanica (Malayan pangolin)
Lineage: Eukaryota; Metazoa; Chordata; Mammalia; Pholidota; Manidae
Source: RefSeq, a predicted model, not a curated record